AUUGAACGCUGGCGGCAUGCUUUACACAUGCAAGUCGAACGGCAGCGCGGGCUUCGGCUUGGCGGCGAGUGGCGAACGGGUGAGUAAUUCAUCGGAACGUGCCCUGUAGUGGGGGAUAGCCCGGCGUAAGCCGGAUUAAUACCGCAUCCGAUCUGAGGUUUAAAGCGGGGGACUGAAAGGCAUCGCGCCAUUUGCGCGGCCGAUGUCGGAUUAGCUAGUUGGUGGGGUAAAGGCUUACCAAGGCGACGAUCCGUAGCUGGUCUGAGAGGACGACCAGCCACACUGGGACUGAGACACGGCCCAGACUCCUACGGGAGGCAGCAGAGGGGAAUUUUGGACAAUGGGGGCAACCCUGAUCCAGCCAUGCCGCGUGCGGGAAGAAGUCCUUCGGGUUGUAAACCGCUUUUGUUCGGGAAGAAAUCCUCUGGGCUAAUACCCCGGGGGGAUGACGGUACCGGAAGAAUAAGCACCGGCUAACUACGUG
This 484-nucleotide ribosomal RNA is filed under the name uncultured bacterium. Its description in RNAcentral is "partial 16S ribosomal RNA". It matches the Rfam family "Bacterial small subunit ribosomal RNA", at positions 30 to 507 of the family's 1533-position model. The record is from RNAcentral.